CAUCCCUAAAACGCGUUCCCUUUGUUCAUUCAUUCAUGUUCAAUUUCAUAUGCCCCUCUGUCUUGGGAAAACCAAUUCGGGCCUCUGCAGCCUCAACACAGGGGCACUGUUCCCGCCUAUUACUGACCCAGUGAAGCCGGGAAGACGAAUCUCGACCACUGUUUCGCAGAUACCGCGUGUGAUUUAUUAAAUGCCGUCUCUCCGAGUCCCAAGUGGCCGGGAGCAUUAUGCCACCUCCCUUGCCCUCAUCUCUCACUGCCAUGCAAGAAAGCGUUAAUGGCAAAUAGGGACCAUGGCCACGCUCCGUCGUUCCUGCUUCCAAGCAAACCUUGUGCCAGGUUCCUCAUUUCGCGAGGCUCCACUCUCUUGGGCUUCAGGCUGCGGCUGGGCCUCCAGGACCAAAGGGCAAUAGAGGUCUGAGAGUCCGGGCCUCAGGCAUAUGCAGGCCGCAGGUGGGAGGAGAAUAGCGCCCGCGCGUGGCAACAGCCCAGGGCGUCUCAGCCGGAUUUUUCCAUCCCCGGGAUAGGCUUGGUGCCCCGUACACUCCAGCGGAACUACAACUCCCAGCACCGUGGUUGCCCGGACUCCCGGAAGCCGAAGCCCGGCUGGGAGGAAGCAGCUGAGACCCCGCCAACAGACUGGGGGUUAAUUUAGACAGAAAAGGGGGCGGGAAGAGCUGUGGGAUACUUGUCAAUUCGCCGCCAUGAACGUGGUUUUUGCUGUGAAGCAGUACAUUUCCAAAAUGAUAGAGGACAGCGGGCCUGGUAUGAAAGUACUUCUCAUGGAUAAAGAGACGACUGGCAUAGUGAGUAUGGUAUACACACAAUCGGAGAUUCUACAGAAAGAAGUGUACCUCUUUGAACGCAUUGAUUCUCAAAAUCGAGAGAUCAUGAAACACCUGAAGGCAAUUUGUUUUCUUCGACCUACAAAGGAGAAUGUGGAUUAUAUGAUUCAGGAGCUCCGAAGACCCAAAUACACCAUAUAUUUCAUUUAUUUCAGUAAUGUGAUCAGCAAGAGUGACGUGAAGUCAUUGGCUGAAGCUGAUGAACAGGAAGUUGUGGCUGAGGUUCAGCAAGUGAUAACUAAAGAAUAUGAACUGUUUGAAUUCCGUCGGACAGAGGUUCCUCCAUUGCUCCUUAUUUUAGAUCGUUGUGAUGAUGCCAUCACCCCAUUGCUAAACCAGUGGACAUAUCAGGCCAUGGUCCAUGAACUACUAGGCAUAAACAACAAUCGGAUUGAUCUUUCCAGAGUGCCGGGGAUCAGUAAAGACUUAAGAGAGGUGGUCCUAUCUGCUGAAAAUGAUGAAUUCUAUGCUAAUAAUAUGUACCUGAACUUUGCUGAGAUUGGUAGCAAUAUAAAGAAUCUCAUGGAAGAUUUUCAGAAGAAGAAACCAAAAGAACAGCAAAAACUAGAAUCAAUAGCAGACAUGAAGGCCUUUGUUGAGAAUUAUCCACAGUUCAAGAAAAUGUCUGGGACUGUUUCAAAGCAUGUGACAGUGGUUGGAGAAUUGUCUCGAUUGGUCAGUGAGCGGAAUCUGCUGGAGGUUUCAGAGGUUGAGCAAGAACUGGCCUGUCAAAAUGACCAUUCUAGUGCUCUCCAGAAUGUAAAAAGGCUUCUGCAGAACCCCAAAGUGACAGAGUUUGAUGCUGCCCGCCUGGUGAUGCUUUAUGCUUUACAUUAUGAGCGACACAGCAGCAAUAGCCUGCCAGGACUAAUGAUGGACCUCAGGAAUAAAGGUGUUUCUGAGAAGUAUCGAAAGCUCGUGUCUGCAGUUGUUGAAUAUGGUGGUAAACGAGUCAGAGGAAGUGACCUCUUCAGCCCCAAAGAUGCUGUGGCUAUCACCAAACAGUUCCUCAAAGGACUGAAGGGAGUAGAAAAUGUAUAUACACAGCAUCAACCUUUCCUACAUGAAACGCUGGAUCAUCUCAUCAAAGGAAGGCUUAAGGAAAACCUAUAUCCUUAUCUAGGCCCCAGCACACUCAGAGACAGAAUUGCCUCUUGUCUCUGAUAAAGGCAAGCAACUUUUUCAUUUGGUGAGGAAAUGGAGCUAUAUGAUCAUGCAUUCCAGAAUCAGUCAAUUCAAAAAGGAAGUACUUUUCAUGUUUACACAAAUGUAGUAGAAUCUUGUCACUACAGCUUAUUUUUUGUUUCUGUGAAGCAGCAGUCCUUUUCCAUUGACCUUUUUUUUGUAGUAAAUGCUCAUAAGAACCGUAUCAUUUACCUCAGGAUAUCAUUGUGUUUGUAAUUGGAGGAGCCACCUAUGAAGAGGCUCUAACAGUUUAUAACCUGAACCGCACCACUCCUGGAGUGAGGAUUGUCCUGGGAGGCACCACGGUGCACAACACGAAAAGUUUCCUAGAGGAAGUUCUGGCUUCUGGACUGCACAGCCGAAGCAAGGAGAGCUCUCAAGUCACAUCAAGGUCAGCGAGCAGAAGAUGAAACAGUGGUUGGGGGAAGGGCACAGCUUCCUCUCUCACCCCCACUACAGGCUUUCCCUACUAAUCAGAGGUGUUGGAGAGCAGCUUUGGGUUCUGUGCUGGUUGUUAGAACUCAUCUCCAGGUAGCCCACAGAUUUGUGGUUGGCACAGACACACGACUCCCAGAGUUGACCUAACAAUAAGUCUGAGCCCAUCUCAACCCACUUUUCUCUGGUAGUUUUUAUGUAUCUGUUAGCACAAUCACUUCAGUUACUGAUGAAUUUUGUUGGGAUCUGACGUGGGGAAAGGGUUAUCAGAGCCUAGAGGGGCUUAAAAAGUAAUCAUUUGAUGUACAUACCACAUUCCUUGACUUCCUUUCUCUUCCCUUGACCCUUUCUGCUUUUCAAUAACCACAUUCCUGCACAACUUAUUUCUGAAAACCUACCAUAUUUCUUUAUAGAGCCAUCCAAAAUUUUUUGUCCCUACAUAGCAAUUUUCUGUGGCACUGAGAAACCAUGUAUGACCACAAUAAAAAUCCAUUUUGUGAAAAGA
RNA transcript from Mandrillus leucophaeus (drill), 2969 nucleotides. It is a transcript of the gene named vacuolar protein sorting 45 homolog (S. cerevisiae), with no coding region annotated. The record is from RefSeq and is a predicted model, not a curated record. The transcript is spliced from 14 exons. NCBI's taxonomy places the organism in Eukaryota, Metazoa, Chordata, Mammalia, Primates, Cercopithecidae.